GAUGAACGCUGGCGGCGUGCCUAACACAUGCAAGUCGAACGGAGUUAUUAUUAUGAAGUUUUCGGAUGGAUUAAUAAUAACUUAGUGGCGGACGGGUGAGUAACGCGUGGGUAACCUGCCUCAUACAGGGGGAUAACAGUUGGAAACGGCUGCUAAAACCGCAUAACAUUGCGAUGUCGCAUGACAAUGCAAUUAAAUAUUUAUAGGUAUGAGAUGGGCCCGCGUCUGAUUAGCUAGUUGGUGGGGUAAUGGCCUACCAAGGCGACGAUCAGUAGCGGGCUUGAGACAGUGACCGGCCACAUUGGGAGUGAGACACGGCCCAAACUCCUACGGGAGGCAGCAGUGGGGAAUAUCGCACAAUGGGGGAAACCCUGAUGCAGCGACGCCGCGUGAGUGAAGAAGUAUUUCGGUAUGUAAAGCUCUAUCAGCAGGGAAGAAAAUGACGGUACCUGACUAAGAAGCCCCGGCUAACUACGUGCCAGCAGCCGCCGUAA
This 494-nucleotide ribosomal RNA is filed under the name uncultured bacterium. Its description in RNAcentral is "partial 16S ribosomal RNA". It matches the Rfam family "Bacterial small subunit ribosomal RNA", at positions 28 to 523 of the family's 1533-position model. The record is from RNAcentral.